UACAGAGGGGGCAAGCGUUGUUCGGAAUUACUGGGCGUAAAGGGCGCGUAGGCGGCCCGCUAAGUCGAACGUGAAAUCCCUGGGCUCAACCCAGGAACUGCGUCCGAUACUGGCGGGCUUGAAUCCGGGAGAGGGAUGUGGAAUUCCAGGUGUAGCGGUGAAAUGCGUAGAUAUCUGGAGGAACACCGGUGGCGAAGGCAGCAUCCUGGACCGGUAUUGACGCUGAUGCGCGAAAGCCAGGGGAGCAAACGGG
RNAcentral lists this ribosomal RNA (253 nucleotides) under uncultured bacterium. RNAcentral's name for it is "partial 16S ribosomal RNA". It matches the Rfam family "Bacterial small subunit ribosomal RNA", at positions 524 to 776 of the family's 1533-position model. The record is from RNAcentral.